RNAcentral lists this long non-coding RNA (743 nucleotides) under Equus caballus (horse). Its description in RNAcentral is "lncRNA (ENSECAG00000049940.1)". Lineage: Eukaryota; Metazoa; Chordata; Mammalia; Perissodactyla; Equidae. The record is from RNAcentral.
GAGCGGGCCCUCCCGGGCCUCCUCCUGCUGUAAUCAGAGCCCAAACCCCACAUCCAGGGGCUCCCCAGAGGGAUUGUGCGUGGCGGGAGCUCCCUCCUGGGGCCCUGGGGCCUGGCUCCUGUGAUGGUCUCCUGGCCUACAACCCGGGAGUCGGAUCACGCUGCCCACGCUCGUCGGUGCCAGGGUUGGGGGAGGGAAGGUACAGACAGGGUGGAUGGGACCCGGCAGUGCACUCAGUCAGACGGCCCGGGAAGAGCAUCGGGGUCUCGGGCAGCUCCUCCAAGGCCCCAAACUGUCUAGGUUCAUCCGAGCCUUUGGCUGUCAGGACAGGAAAAUGCAAUUUAUCAUCGGAGUGGAUAAAGAGCCACUCUUCUGAAAGGAGCCGGAGACCGGCCACCUUCCUGGUCGCUGCCACCGCCAGAGUCGGUGCUUGGUGGCAGGAGGGUGGGCACAGGCGCCAGGCUAGAGGGAGCAGCGGAAGAAGAGGGGGACUUUUCCACGGCCGGAAGGGGUGCCAAGCCUUGAAAUGACCAGAGGGACUGAAGCUAACACUGCACUUCCCAUGUGGGUGACACAGGGGCUGCAAACUCAACCCCUCAGAGGCGCCAGAAGGUCCUCGCAUCACUGGGGCUUGCCUGCCCCUCGGGAGUCCACAGCCCUGAGAUCGGAGAUCCCCGGCGGGGGAAGGGCAGCCGAGAUGCCUCCAGGACAGGAGCGAACUGGGCUGCCGAGGACCCUCCCUU